GGCAGGAAAAUCCAAGAGGAGUAUGUACGAACAUAAAUCUCCGAUGAGAGAAUACACCCUCAUGUUCAACACCUUUUAACAAAACAGCAUAUGAAGUGCUGCUCAGAAAUUGGAGGCCAGCUUAGUAUUUUUACUUACUAGCAAAUGAUGAAAACGGGAAAGAUCCUAAAGAAUGGGCAGUUUUGUGGAGGAGAGAGCACCCUGCAAUCAGGCAACUGCGAAAGAAACGAAGAGGAGGAUCAAGUGCUAAAGAAGUUUAACUUUCUCGAGAAAGAGGACUCAUGGGGGGAAUCCUGAAAGGCAUCAUGGCUGGCUGUUUUCCAUG
Molecule: non-coding RNA, 325 nt
Organism: Macaca mulatta (Rhesus monkey)
Lineage: Eukaryota; Metazoa; Chordata; Mammalia; Primates; Cercopithecidae
Source: RefSeq, a predicted model, not a curated record